UACGUAGGGGGCAAGCGUUGUCCGGAAUCAUUGGGCGUAAAGCGCGUGUAGGCGGCCCAGUAAGUCCGCUCUGAAAGCCCGGGGCUCAACCCCGGGAGGCGGGUGGAUACUGCUGGGCUCGAGUCCGGAAGAGGCGAGUGGAAUUCCUGGUGUAGCGGUGAAAUGCGCAGAUAUCAGGAGGAGCACCGAUUGCGAAGGCAGCUCGCUGGGACGGUACUGACGCUGAGACGCGAAAGCGUGGGGAGCAAACAGG
This 253-nucleotide ribosomal RNA is filed under the name uncultured bacterium. RNAcentral describes it as "partial 16S ribosomal RNA". It matches the Rfam family "Bacterial small subunit ribosomal RNA", at positions 524 to 776 of the family's 1533-position model. The record is from RNAcentral.